CCUACGGGUGGCAGCAGUGAGGAAUAUUGGUCAAUGGGCGUAAGCCUGAACCAGCCAAGUCGCGUGAGGGAUGAAGGUUCUAUGGAUCGUAAACCUCUUUUAUAAGGGAAUAAAGUGUGGUACGCGUCCUAUUUUGUAUGUACCUUAUGAAUAAGGAUCGGCUAACUCCGUGCCAGCAGCCGCGGUAAUACGGAGGAUCCGAGCGUUAUCCGGAUUUAUUGGGUUUAAAGGGUGCGUAGGCGGCCUUUUAAGUCAGCGGUGAAAGUCUGUGGCUCAACCAUCGAAUUGCCGGUGAAACUGGGGGGCUUGAGUAUGUUUGAGGCAGGCGGAAUGCGUGGUGUAGCGGUGAAAUGCUUAGAGAUCACACAGAACCCCGAUUGCGAAGGCAGCCUGCCAAGCCAUGACUGACGCUGAUGCACGAAAGCGUGGGGAUCAAACAGGAUUAGAUACCCGAGUAGUC
Molecule: ribosomal RNA, 460 nt
Filed under: uncultured bacterium
Lineage: Bacteria
Description: partial 16S ribosomal RNA
Rfam family: Bacterial small subunit ribosomal RNA
Source: RNAcentral